Scleropages formosus (Asian bonytongue) is the source of this 222-nucleotide long non-coding RNA. RefSeq lists it as uncharacterized. The record is from RefSeq and is a predicted model, not a curated record. The transcript has 4 exons. NCBI's taxonomy places the organism in Eukaryota, Metazoa, Chordata, Actinopteri, Osteoglossiformes, Osteoglossidae.
ACGUGUCACACACCCACACACCAGGAUUACUGAGAAUGAGAGCAACAAGACUUCUUUCUCUCGAUAAAGCAAACUGACAGGUCUAAGAUGCUGCUGAAUGUUGCACUUGUUUAUGUGCUGGUGAACCGGUGAUGCUGAAUUACCCAUAGGCCAAGUCAGUGGUUGGCAGUGCUGGUCCCAAACCCAGGGUCGCGGGGAACUGGAGCCUACCCGGCAACACAG